This 405-nucleotide ribosomal RNA is filed under the name uncultured bacterium. Its description in RNAcentral is "partial 16S ribosomal RNA". It matches the Rfam family "Bacterial small subunit ribosomal RNA", at positions 28 to 526 of the family's 1533-position model. The record is from RNAcentral.
GACGAACGCUGGCGGCGUGCUUAGCACAUGCAAGUCGAACGAGUGGCGAACGGGUGAGUAACACGUGGGUGAUCUGCCUUGCACUUCGGGAUAAGCUUGGGAAACUGGGUCUAAUACCGGAUAGUGCAAGAUGAGCUCGCGGCCUAUCAGCUUGUGGGUGGGGUAAUGGCUACCCAGGCGCGACGGGUAGCUGGUCUGGGAGGAUGAUCAGCCACACUGGGACUGAGACACGGCCCAUAUUCCUACGGGAGGCAGCAGUGGGGAAUAUUGCACAAUGGGCGCAAUCCUGAUACAGCCAGGCCGCGUGUAGGAAGAAGGCCUUAGGGUUGUAAAGUACUUUCAGCGGGGAGGCGUUACCCGCAGAAGAAGCACCGGCUAACUCCGUGCCAGCCGCCGCGGUAAUAC